Molecule: long non-coding RNA, 479 nt
Filed under: Linum usitatissimum (flax)
Lineage: Eukaryota; Viridiplantae; Streptophyta; Magnoliopsida; Malpighiales; Linaceae
Description: long non-coding RNA (LUSI_LNC001758)
Source: RNAcentral
AAAUAAAUAAUGAAACUGAAAAUAUAAACAAAAGAUAAUAAAGUAUAUAGAAAAGGUGGAAAUUCUAUUUUAUUUCCUUCUUGGAACCAAAAAAAAUGUCCCACACUAUGACAGAAAAUAACUUAACAAUAUGAUACAGUGUUAGAACAAAAAAAAACAUGUGUGUUCCUUGUCAAGUCCGCAUGUUAAUCAAGCUCGCUCAACUAAGCAGCAAGUUGACGAGUCGAUUGGCACCAACGAUCGUAAGAGGAUUGGAGAUUCGGCCACUCGGAGGACGUGAUCGCGUAGUCGUGGAUCCAGUUCGUCAGGAUGACUUCCUGGUCCAUCCCGGGGAGAGUGGUCAUCACCUCGUCAAUGGCUCUCUCCACCUCCAUCAUCUCGAACGUCGACAGCACCGGGUAAGCCAACCCGUUGUUGGCGUGGCACAGCACCGGCAGCCACACCAUCAGGAGCCUCGACUUCACUUGCCCCGACACUUG